AGCCCACCACUGAUAACCCUGAACUUAGGCUAGUAUGUUACCUGUACAAGGUACCUCUUUUGAGCUGAGUUUGCCCCCCUGUGACUUCAAGGACAUAUCCCUGCAGGGUUUUUUUUUCCUUACAAAAGUGUAAUAAUUUUUUGUGGCAUUGAUUUCCAAAUCAAACAUCUUCAGUCUUUCAUCAGGUUUUUGUGGGGCUUUGUUUAUGGUCUCCACACUACAAUAUUUUGAUUAUUGGUCUUCUUUAGACACACUCUGGUUUUUUCAGUGUAUCACAAUGUAUUUUUCUAACAGAAAGGAUAAAGACACUUUUAUUCCAAAGGAUAGUAAAAACAAAGGAACCCACCCUAAGCUCUUCUGACUCUAGGUCUCAUAUGUUGCAGUAGGAAUAUUUGAAAAUCUUAUGUUUUUCAAACCAUGGUCCAAAACAAUGCUGUUAUUCUUCUGAAAUUCAUUAUGUAUUUUCCUAAAAAAUAUUUAUCUAAAAGUUGAUAAGUGUGCCUAAGUAAAAUAAACACAUUAAUCAGAAGUUCCAA
Molecule: long non-coding RNA, 536 nt
Organism: Pantherophis guttatus
Lineage: Eukaryota; Metazoa; Chordata; Lepidosauria; Squamata; Colubridae
Source: RefSeq, a predicted model, not a curated record